GGAGGGUCAAAUGUCAAGACGAUUUGGAAUCAAACAAACAUUGAUUUGGCGUGAACUAUCACGUGAACUACUUUUUUUUAACUAACUUAAAAUUGCCUCUGACAUUACGUCACAGCAAUUUUUAUUUUACAAUGGUCAUAACAAUUGGCAGUAGUUUCUGUUAAUCUUUAAUUCAAUGUACUUUUCCAAAAGAAAACCCCUCCAACAGUAAAGUGCUUAUAUGCGGUGUGUAACCAGACAGUAGAGAAAUCAUUCCCAGACCAUCUCUGGUGUAACUUCAGGAAGAGAAGAAUCAAUAGCCUACAGCUGAAUCAAGUGCAGCAUUGCCAAAGGAGGAGCACGGAUGUUGUGUGAAAGCGCACUCUGGGGCAUGGGUCACCAUGAAGACUUGGUGAGAGAACUCACUCUUCCUCACGCCUCUCUAUCAGAGCCAUCAUCAGAAAACAACAGAGACUGGGGUAGUUUCUACCCGCAUCUCUCCAAAUGCGCCAACAUCGAGGAUGAUGGCAGGGAAAAUAUGGAAAACCAUACAAGGAAAGAGGCGGUGAAACAAAGAUCGGCUCAUCAAGAAAAGGGACUGGUCCCAGGAAACCAAGUAGUGAGGAAUAUGGCAUCACCCCAUUCUACAGAGCGGUUUGGACCAACAGGGAGAGGGAAGUCAUCAGGAGCCGGACGGACACUGGUACUGUGUCAGACGUCAUCUCCAAGCCUCUCGCAGAGUCGCACUAAAAACGAUGUGGUGUAAAGCCCGCCUCUUCAUUUUCCAUGGACAUAUUUAACAGUGGCUUAUGGAACAAUGUUAUUUAUUUUGUAUGUCAUUUCACUAUCCUUCAUAACCUGUGCUUUUUCGCUGACACGGGUGCCAGUUGUACGGUGUUUCCUCCGACACAUUGGUGUUGCUGGUUUUCGGCGAGCAGUGUGUCAAGUAUCAGUGUGGCUUGGCAGGGUCGUGUUUCGGAGGACGCAUGACUCUCGACCUUCGCCUCUCCGUAGUCGGUACGGGAGUUGCAGAGAUGCGACAAGACUGUAACUACCAUUUGGAUAUCACGAAAUUGUGGAGAAAAAGGGGUAAAAAGUACAAACAAAAAUGAUAAUGACCUGUGCUUGAUAUCCUGUUCAACCCUUCCUGUGAAUUAAAUAGCCCUAUAGGCC
Long non-coding RNA from Salmo salar (Atlantic salmon), 1152 nucleotides. RefSeq lists it as uncharacterized. NCBI's taxonomy places the organism in Eukaryota, Metazoa, Chordata, Actinopteri, Salmoniformes, Salmonidae. The record is from RefSeq and is a predicted model, not a curated record.